GGUGCCCUUAUGAUCAUGUGAGUUUAAGAAUCUAAACAUUGCUCCAGUUGUGCCUGCCAUACCUCAAUAUCAAAUUGGAAAAUGCAGUCCCUGCCCCAACACAUUCACAAGGAACAAAGAGUGAUGCUUUGCUUGAAAUCCUAUUCAAUGACUUAUAUGUGUGAAUUGCAAUUGAAAGCAUAACUUGCUUUCCCUCCAACCUCUAUUAGAACAAUAAUUAGCAAAAGAUAGAGCAUGUAAUCAAGUAAAAAUAUGUUUGUUACAUUUGAUGCACACCUUCAAUAUUGCAUCCACAUUUAAGCCUUCCAAUAACUUCUCAACAAAAUCACUAGGACAAUAAUCAUUAUGUACAACUCCAAAAUUAUAUAUACAAAGUUGUCACAUGUAAAUGCUAAAAAAUCUUGUAAGUAAAGUAGUCAUUUCUAGCCCCAAAAUUGUGUCAACACCACACCAAGAAUGGUGUUCUCUAACAUAUAAUCAUAAUGAUUGUGUAAAUUAUCGAAUGUUACAACACGCCAAUAUGAAAUAUCCGACUCCAUGACUUCUGUGACGCUCAUAUGUGCUCCACAAUUGCAUCUUCUCAAUGAUUGAUAUCCGACUGCAUGACUUCUCUGACGCUCAUAUGUGCUCCACAAUUGCAUCUUCUCAAUGAUCGAUCUCUUUCUCCUUUAUUUUCAGACAACUCUUUGUUUGUUAAGUGGCUGCCCUAUGGCAAACAUAAUAUCUUCUACUUGUGUACCCGUAAAAAAGUACUCAAGUUUGAUUUUGAGUACCUGCAAAAAAAUGACUCAAAUAGAUAAUAUUGAUACAAUAGAGAUUUUUGGGGCUUGUUCAUUAAAAAUUAUAAUGGCUAUGUAAAUCAAAGCCACAAGGACUUCCAUUUGGGCCAAAACUGGCUGAAUUCAAGCAAAUAUAAUUCCAGUCAUACAAACAAAAAGAAACCUAAAUCUGAUCCUGCGUCUAGAAUUUAAUGAUGACAAAAAGUUAAACAUGAAGUUAACUGAUCCUGUGUUGACGAGAGCAUUUAGGGGAUAUAUUCAUAACAGGUAAUAUAUUCAUCAUUCCUGGGUGCAACAACUAGCCUAAAAGUCUGUCAAAUUUAGAUUUAAAUGACAUUAGCAAAUUUAGACAGUUUCUAUGAGAGAUAUCAGCAGCAUUUUGCAACUUGCAACUUGAAUGUUAAUUUAAAGAUGCCAAAUAUAAAUAUUUAAUGUCCAUGAAAGGGAAAGAGCAAAGUAUAGAUGGGACUGAAAUUGAUUUAGCUCACUAUGGCACCUUUGGAUGGAAGGCCUUGCAUCCAAACCUUGUGGUAUAUUCACCUUGCAAGGACUUGUACCUGUGUUCGUGAUGCACACAGGUAUGGGGCAUCAGAUUCACCUUGCUGUGAUAAACAGGAUUUGGCCAUGCGAUUGUAUUAUUAAGAGACAACAAAGUCCAACACUAGUUACUAAUAUCCAUUUGAUGAUUGAGUAGCCAAAAAAUGAAUAAUGACUUAGUUGGCUGAAUGUGUCUACUGAAGCAAAACAGAAGAUCAAGUCGCAAUCAAUUUAGUGAAUGGUUAGUGAACAAGAUGAAGAGUUCAGAAGAAUCUGUGCUAGUAUGGGUGAUAUGUCUAACACAGGUAUGACAUCCAAACAGAAUCAUCCAUGUAACAUAGAAAACAAAGAAUACCUCCUGCCCCUGUUCUUAGGCAUACAGUAUUCAAAAUUAAGUUUCAUUGUUCUCUAUGUCAGUCCAAUCCAGACCUUUGCAUAUUAGGACCCAAAAGAGCAACCAAAUUCUAGGCUCUCAAUAGGAGGUUCACCACCCAAACACAGUAGCUCCUCAUGACUGUGGUCUAAAAGGAAUAAGAACCAGCCACAUCCCCUAAUCCUCUCCUGAAUGACCAAUGCUCUCUACCUGCCUGCCUCAAAAAUGGCAGCAAUUAUGCUUGUCUCAUAUACACCAGAAUAUAGGAAUGCUACAUAAAUUUCACAAAGGAGAGGCCCUUGUUGCCAACAUGUCAAAAAUGGCCCUACUGUAUAGGGCAUCACCAUCUCCAAACCAAAAAGAUGCAGGACGUAAAUAUCAAAUGACAUAGGCAUACACAAAAUGGAUGACAUGAUUGUAUUAUCCAUAAAGUACAACUACCUUCAAUGGAUAUGACAACUACAUUUAAUCAGUUCCAUGCGAACUAGAGUGAUAUUAGAAGAGUUUUUCCAAUUAACAUAGGGAUUCAACGUCACUUUCGCACACUGCAACAGAGUGUAAAUCUCUCUCUCCAUUAUAAACCAUUUAAGGGAAAAGCAUGAACGAUUAACAAACUAGCCUAACCAAUAUUCUAAGCCUCACAUCCUUUCUCCAAUGCCAUUGGAAAGGCCAAUCAUAAGACUUAAACCCCCAUUUUCUAAGUCAAAACAAUAACAACAAAUGAAAUAUGUAAAAUGCUUGGAUGCAUAAGAGUGCUUCAAUAUGGGUAACCUGAAAUCCUAGUAUGCAAAAUACUGAAACUGUAUAUUUAGUGUUGCUGCCAAAGAAAACUCAGGAAAGUAGGCCCCAAUUCCAAAGAAGGUGAUCAAGAGGAGGCCUCAUUUCAGAAUAAAAAUAAAAGAGAACCCCAAGUAGGCCUUGAUUUCGAAAAGAUAAUCACAACAAAAGUUCUCGGAUUUCAGGAAGAAUUCCAAGGGAGAACUUCUUAAACAGAGCAAAGGAAACAAAACCGAAAAGAAAAACAAAAGAAAACACAAGAUUGUCGAAGUUGAAUUCAAGCAAAACCUCAAAACAAUAGCAUUUUUCUUGGGCACUUGAACUAGAGUGAAUUUAUUGAUCUACGGGAUUUAAAACACACAAAUCACAGAAACCGAACAAAACCCACGUCCCCAAAUCCAUAGAGAAAAACAUGCUAUGAAGAAAAACCCACAAAAUUCUGAAGUUGAAUCCUACCUAAAACAGAAAAAACCUAAUUGUAAUGUAUACAAUUUCGCUUUUGCAAAGUAAAAAACCUAUAUAGAAAAUCACACCAACCGAGACAACGCAUUUACAACCAAUCCAUGGGUUCUCAGAAAUGGUAAGAGUACACUUGAAUUUUACAGAUUAUUCCCAUCAUUUUGCUUAUAAAAAAUGAAUUGAGAGAGAGAGAGAGAAUGGCAAUCAUAAGAUAUUCUUACCUGGUUUGAAUGGAGAUCUCCUGGCUGGCUUUUACAAGGCAUGAGCUGGGUCCACAUCCAUGGCUGGAAGGGCGAAAAUUAGGGCUUUCUCGAGUUGAAAACCAAGGUCUCGAGCUUUCUGUCGAUGGAGGGAGAAAGACGGGAGGGAGUCUUAGGCGAGGUUAAAAUUUUAAAAGUUGUUCGCUUUUUAUUAUUGUGAAAAUAAUUGUCACAAUAAAAUAUAAGGGCUGAGUAAAAAUGUGGUCACCAG
Molecule: long non-coding RNA, 3396 nt
Filed under: Amborella trichopoda
Lineage: Eukaryota; Viridiplantae; Streptophyta; Magnoliopsida; Amborellales; Amborellaceae
Description: long non-coding RNA (ATRI_LNC001597)
Source: RNAcentral